GAGAGUCGCAGAUACCAGGUGGCUGCAACUGUUUAUUAAAAACACAGCACUGUGCAAAAUCGUAAGAUGACGUAUACGGUGUGACGCCUGCCCGGUGCCGGAAGGUUAAUUGAUGGGGUUAGACUUCGGUCGAAGCUCUUGAUCGAAGCCCCGGUAAACGGCGGCCGUAACUAUAACGGUCCUAAGGUAGCGAAAUUCCUUGUCGGGUAAGUUCCGACCUGCACGAAUGGCGUAAUGAUGGCCACGCUGUCUCCACCCGAGACUCAGUGAAAUUGAAAUCGCUGUGAAGAUGCAGUGUACCCGCGGCUAGACGGAAAGACCCCGUGAACCUUUACUACAGCUUGGCACUGAACAUUGACCCUACAUGUGUAGGAUAGGUGGGAGGCUUUGAAGCAGGUACGCCAGUAUCUGUGGAGCCGUCCUUGAAAUACCACCCUUGUAGUGUUGAUGUUCUAACGUUGACCCCUUAUCGGGGUUGCGGACAGUGCCUGGUGGGUAGUUUGACUGGGGCGGUCUCCUCCCAAAGAGUAACGGAGGAGCACGAAGGUGGGCUAAUCACGGUUGGACAUCGUGAGGUUAGUGCAAUGGCAUAAGCCCGCUUGACUGCGAGAAUGACAAUUCGAGCAGGUGCGAAAGCAGGUCAUAGUGAUCCGGUGGUUCUGAAUGGAAGGGCCAUCGCUCAACGGAUAAAAGGUACUCCGGGGAUAACAGGCUGAUACCGCCCAAGAGUUCAUAUCGACGGCGGUGUUUGGCACCUCGAUGUCGGCUCAUCACAUCCUGGGGCUGAAGUCGGUCCCAAGGGUAUGGCUGUUCGCCAUUUAAAGUGGUACGCGAGCUGGGUUUAGAACGUCGUGAGACAGUUCGGUCCCUAUCUGCCGUGGGCGUUGGAAGAUUGAAGGGGGCUGCUCCUAGUACGAGAGGACCGGAGUGGACGAACCUCUGGUGUUCGGGUUGUGUCGCCAGACGCAUUGCCCGGUAGCUAAGUUCGGAAUCGAUAACCGCUGAAAGCAUCUAAGCGGGAAGCGAGCCCUGAGAUGAGUCUUCCCUGAUACUUUAAGUAUCCUAAAGGGUUGUCGGAGACUACGACGUUGAUAGGUCAGGUGUGUAAGUGCUGUGAGGCAUUGAGCUAACUGAUACUAAUUGCCCGUGAGGCUUAACCAU
Molecule: ribosomal RNA, 1161 nt
Filed under: Vibrio parahaemolyticus
Lineage: Bacteria; Pseudomonadati; Pseudomonadota; Gammaproteobacteria; Vibrionales; Vibrionaceae
Also listed under: 1 other name
Description: partial 23S ribosomal RNA
Rfam family: Bacterial large subunit ribosomal RNA
Source: RNAcentral